This 206-nucleotide long non-coding RNA is filed under the name Nicotiana benthamiana. RNAcentral describes it as "long non-coding RNA (NBEN_LNC017920)". Lineage: Eukaryota; Viridiplantae; Streptophyta; Magnoliopsida; Solanales; Solanaceae. The record is from RNAcentral.
AGCAGCUUCUCCAAACCAACUUCCCUCUUUUUCUGUCACACUUUCUUCUUGUCCAGCAGAUUCCUCACUCCACACUAUCAUUGCUCUUGUUUCUUCAAUCAAACUAGCUAGGAGUGGUUGAAGGUUCAGUCGCUCCUUUUCCUAUACCCCUCACAACACCUUGAGAACCCUCACCCUGUUUUUCUUUUUCUCUUUUUAUCUUUAGA